RNAcentral lists this ribosomal RNA (346 nucleotides) under [Candida] sp. CA-SPX-CL119C. RNAcentral describes it as "LSU rRNA". It matches the Rfam family "Eukaryotic large subunit ribosomal RNA", at positions 331 to 670 of the family's 3401-position model. Lineage: Eukaryota; Fungi; Ascomycota; Saccharomycetes; Saccharomycetales. The record is from RNAcentral.
AGACCGAUAGCGAACAAGUACCGUGAGGGAAAGAUGAAAAGCACUUUGGAAAGAGAGUUAAACAGUACGUGAAAUUGUUGAAAGGGAAACGAUUGAAGUCAGUCGUGUUCUUUGGAUUCAGCUAGUUCUGCUAGUUUACUUCCAUUGAACGGGUCAACAUCAGUUUUGUUCGGUGGAUAAAGGUAGUAGGAAUGUGACUCCUCUCGGGGAGUGUUAUAGCCUAUUAUCAUAUACACUGGGUGAGACUGAGGACUGCAGCUCGCCUUUUGGCCGGCCCUCGGGCACGUUCGAGCUUAGGAUGUUGACAUAAUGGCUUUAAACGUCCCGUCUUGAAACACGGACCAAG